UAGCGCGCUUCCCUGACACGGAAGAGGUCACUGGUUCGAUCCCAGUAUCGCCCACCA
RNAcentral lists this transfer RNA (57 nucleotides) under Oerskovia sp. Root22. Its description in RNAcentral is "tRNA-Ser". It matches the Rfam family "tRNA", at positions 19 to 71 of the family's 71-position model. Rfam says of the family: Transfer RNA (tRNA) molecules are approximately 80 nucleotides in length. Their secondary structure includes four short double-helical elements and three loops (D, anti-codon, and T loops). Lineage: Bacteria; Bacillati; Actinomycetota; Actinomycetes; Micrococcales; Cellulomonadaceae. The record is from RNAcentral.